AUGUGGUUCUGCCGCGUCGGCCAGGAUCUCCGGUGGUCGCGUCACGGCUACGACAUUGGCUGCUUGGACAUCGCGGGCUCUCCUCCCACAAAGAGACACUUCGUCGACGUUGCCGCCGUUAAUGGGAGGUUCUUCUUCUGCGAGUCCAAUGACUCUCUCGGCACGCUCGACUUCCACGCCAACGACGCCUCGGAGAAGCCGGAGGUGCGGCUGGGCGCCAUCGCCGUGCCCUGCGUCCACGUCCCGACGGGCUUUACGGCCACGUACGUCGUCGAGUCCUGCAACGACCUGUUCCUCGUCCAUAUCGCCUUCCACGGAUUAUUCGUCGACCGACCAGGGGAGCUCCGCGUCUAUCGGAUGGAUUUCUCGGAGCCGCCGGCUUGGCGCAAGACGGACUGCAUCGGGGAUCGGGAUUUCAUCCUCGGUAAAUCCAAUUUUGCAGCGUCCUGCUCUGCCAGCGGAUGUGGACUCAAGCCCAACUGCGUCUACUGGUUGAAUUGCCUCAGCUCAGAGAACAGUGAUCUGCAUGUCUUCGGCCUGAAGGACGGCUCAUCAGAAAUUGUCAAGCAGUUUGAGAAUGUCGUGGGUCUCCGGAAAUCCUGGUGGAUCGUCCCUGUCGUUGCAUAG
This 627-nucleotide ribosomal RNA is filed under the name Triticum aestivum (bread wheat). RNAcentral's name for it is "partial small subunit ribosomal RNA". The record is from RNAcentral. Lineage: Eukaryota; Viridiplantae; Streptophyta; Magnoliopsida; Poales; Poaceae.